UGUUAUCCCUUAUGAAUACAAUAAUUGAUGUGUAAAGAAUGUAUUGAAUGAGCAAUUGUGUGGGAUACAGGAGCACAAAUAUUUGACAAACAUGCAGACUUAGGUCUACUAUGUGGAACAGAUUUACAGAAUUACCACUAAUAUGAGAUAAAUUAUCUACAUGUUACAAGGAAUAAACAAAAAAUGUGAUAACCAAAGGAAUGUGUGAAUUUUGACAGAGAAAAUUAGAGGAGCAGUCACAGAUGUGGCAUUUGAGCUGACCUUUGAAUUAUGACUCUGUUGAAGGUAAACAGCAGGAGAAGAGCAUUGGAGCACCAAGAAUAGCAUAAGUGAUAAGUGAGAGGACAUUGUGGGCUACCUUAAAUGUCCACCAAUUAUUACAUUUGUUUGUAAUAAUGAGAUAUCAAAGCUUUGAAGAUUUUGGAUACCUGAUUGAAGCUUAAUAUCUGUAAUAUUUUAUUUUAUGAAUCCUAGAGAAAUGCUGAAAAAGAUUCAAUACUGAGCUUAUUGGAAAUGGAAAUGUAGUACUUAUCAAAUUCUGUGAAUCUCCCUGUAAAAGUACACUUUAUCUCUACUUAAUAAACUCAUCUGUAUAAGAUAUAUAAUACCUUGAGUGUAGUGUUCUUUUCAGUCCUCUCUCAUCACACUCCAAUGUAGCAUGUUGG
RNAcentral lists this long non-coding RNA (665 nucleotides) under Papio anubis (olive baboon). RNAcentral describes it as "lncRNA (ENSPANG00000044537.1)". Lineage: Eukaryota; Metazoa; Chordata; Mammalia; Primates; Cercopithecidae. The record is from RNAcentral.